GACGAACGCUGGCGGCGUGCUUAACACAUGCAAGUCGAACGAUGAUGCCCAGCUUGCUGGGCGGAUUAGUGGCGAACGGGUGAGUAACACGUGAGUAACCUGCCCCUGACUUUGGGAUAAGCGUUGGAAACGACGUCUAAUACUGGAUAUGAUCGCCGACCGCAUGGUCUGGUGGUGGAAAGAUUUUUUGGUUGGGGAUGGACUCGCGGCCUAUCAGCUUGUUGGUGAGGUAAUGGCUCACCAAGGCGACGACGGGUAGCCGGCCUGAGAGGGUGACCGGCCACACUGGGACUGAGACACGGCCCAGACUCCUACGGGAGGCAGCAGUGGGGAAUAUUGCACAAUGGGCGAAAGCCUGAUGCAGCAACGCCGCGUGAGGGAUGACGGCCUUCGGGUUGUAAACCUCUUUUAGUAGGGAAGAAGCGAAAGUGACGGUACCUGCAGAAAAAGCACCGGCUAACUACGUG
This 467-nucleotide ribosomal RNA is filed under the name uncultured bacterium. Its description in RNAcentral is "partial 16S ribosomal RNA". It matches the Rfam family "Bacterial small subunit ribosomal RNA", at positions 28 to 507 of the family's 1533-position model. The record is from RNAcentral.